CCCGGCGACCGGCGCACGGGUGAGUAACACGUAUGCAACCUGGCCGUGACAGAUGGAUAACCGGGAGAAAUCCCGCCUAAUACAACAUAAUGCCGGGAGGGGACAUCCCCUGCCGGCCAAAGGGGGCGACCCCGGUCACGGAUGGGCAUGCGGCGCAUUAGGUAGUUGGUGGGGCAACGGCCCACCAAGCCGACGAUGCGUAGGGGUUCUGAGAGGAAGGUCCCCCACAUUGGAACUGAGACACGGUCCAAACUCCUACGGAAGGCAGCAG
RNAcentral lists this ribosomal RNA (271 nucleotides) under uncultured bacterium. RNAcentral describes it as "partial 16S ribosomal RNA". It matches the Rfam family "Bacterial small subunit ribosomal RNA", at positions 87 to 354 of the family's 1533-position model. The record is from RNAcentral.